This 497-nucleotide ribosomal RNA is filed under the name uncultured bacterium. RNAcentral's name for it is "partial 16S ribosomal RNA". It matches the Rfam family "Bacterial small subunit ribosomal RNA", at positions 28 to 507 of the family's 1533-position model. The record is from RNAcentral.
GAUGAACGCUGGCGGCGUGCCUAAUACAUGCAAGUCGAGCGAACGGACGAGAAGCUUGCUUUUCUGAUGUUAGCGGCGGACGGGUGAGUAACACGUGGAUAACCUACCUAUAAGACUGGGAUAACUUCGGGAAACCGGAGCCAAUACCGGAUAAUAUUUUGAACCGCAUGGUUCAAAAGUGAAAGACGGUCUUGCUGUCACUUAUAGAUGGAUCCGCGCUGCAUUAGCUAGUUGGUAAGGUAACGGCUUACCAAGGCAACGAUGCAUAGCCGACCUGAGAGGGUGGUCGGCCACACUGGAGCUGAGACACGGUCCGGGCUCCUACGGGAGGCAGCAGUAGGGAAUCUUCCGCAAUGGGCGAAAGCCUGACGGAGCGACGCUGCGUGAGUGAUGAAGGUCUUCGGAGCGUAAAACUCUGUUAUUAGGGAAGAACAUAUGUGUAAGUAACUGUGCACAUCUUGACGGUACCUAAUCAGAAAGCCACGGCUAACUACGUG